This 167-nucleotide non-coding RNA is filed under the name human gut metagenome. RNAcentral describes it as "Lysine riboswitch". It matches the Rfam family "Lysine riboswitch aptamer". Rfam says of the family: Riboswitches are metabolite binding domains within certain messenger RNAs that serve as precision sensors for their corresponding targets. Allosteric rearrangement of mRNA structure is mediated by ligand binding, and this results in modulation of gene expression. The record is from RNAcentral.
AUAAAUAGAGGCGCGAUUAUUAAGAUAAGCGAUUUUUAAGGGCAAAGGAAAAUCGUGGGAAAGGAAUAAUCGCCGAGAGAGUAAAAAAUCCCUAAAAUUUUUAUUCUCGGGCGUGCAGAAAAUAUCUGUACGACUGUCACCUUAAAAAUAAGGUGUUGCGCUAUUAU